GUGAAAUGUUUUAUUGAAAAUAGAUAGAUAGAUUUGUUGCAUUGUACAGCAGUAAGAACUGCCUUUUACAAUUUUUUUAUCCCAAUUGUACUGCCUCUCUC
This is a long non-coding RNA of Cotesia glomerata, 101 nucleotides long. RefSeq lists it as uncharacterized. The record is from RefSeq and is a predicted model, not a curated record. Lineage: Eukaryota; Metazoa; Arthropoda; Insecta; Hymenoptera; Braconidae. The transcript is spliced from 3 exons.